GCUUGUCUCAAAGAUUAAGCCAUGCAUGUCUAAGUAUAAACUAAUUUAUACAGUGAAACUGCGAAUGGCUCAUUAAAUCAGUUAUAGUUUAUUUGAUAAUCAAUCUUACUCGGAUAACCGUGGUAAUUCUAGAGCUAAUACGUGCACAAAACCCCGACUUCUGGAAGGGGUGUAUUUAUUAGAUAAAAAACCAACCCGGCAACGGUUCUUUGGUGAUUCAUGAUAACUGUUCGAAGCGCACGGCCUCGCGCCGGCGCUAGUUCAUUCAAAUUUCUGCCCUAUCAGCUUUCGACGGUAGUGUAGUGGACUACCGUGGCGCUAACGGGUGACGGAGAAUUAGGGUUCGGUUCCGGAGAGGGAGCCUGAGAAACGGCUACCACAUCCAAGGAAGGCAGCAGG
Molecule: ribosomal RNA, 399 nt
Filed under: uncultured Chytridiomycetes
Lineage: Eukaryota; Fungi; Chytridiomycota; Chytridiomycetes
Description: partial small subunit ribosomal RNA
Rfam family: Eukaryotic small subunit ribosomal RNA
Source: RNAcentral